Molecule: ribosomal RNA, 357 nt
Filed under: Triticum aestivum (bread wheat)
Lineage: Eukaryota; Viridiplantae; Streptophyta; Magnoliopsida; Poales; Poaceae
Description: partial small subunit ribosomal RNA
Source: RNAcentral
AUGAAUAGUGCAGGAGCUAGCAAAGCUGCCGCUCGCCGUAUGGAACACCAGUACCACCGUGGGAAGGUGGAAGCACAAAUAGAAGCUGCUCUUUCUUCCUGGCCGAGUAUGGAUCAAGCGUCUCGGUCAUUAGCUUGGCAGCUAUGCAACAUGCCGUCUCGCCAGCACAACUUCAACCCAUCUGCACAGGUUCAGCGACGCCCCCCUUCCCAUGUCCUCUCGAUGGCAGGAUUACCUCGAUCUCUGGUGCAGCCGUGGCGUUCUGGUUCUUCUUUCUCGCUUGCAGAAGAUAAGCUUUCUAAGCACAAGACUCUUCAGCUUACUGAAAACUUUCUUACCCACAAAACUUCUUGCUGA